UGUUUUAGGCAAAAGCUGGUGGAUUUCACCCUGGCCGGGCGAGCCUUCAUAGCUGCAUCACUCCCCGUGGUCCUGAUACCAAAACAUAUGAGGCUACCAUUGCACUUGGAAAUGAAGGGGGUCCACAUAAAAUAGCUGAUACCAUGGCUUUUAUGUUCGAGUCUUGCUUAAUACCCCGAGUAUGUCCAUGGGCACUUGAAUCUCCAUUUAUGGAUCACGACUAUUACCGUUGUUGGAUCGGUUUGAAGUCUCACUUCUCAGACUAUCUCGUGAAUGAAGACAACCGCGAUUUGCGUAAUGGAAAACCUAUAGAAAGGUGAAAUGCUGAUCGUUCAGGCUAGCUUUUGUAGUUCCUCCUAAAGUGACUUAGCUUGUACAUAAGGUGUUACGGGCAUGUAAAAUGUAAAAAACACUACAUUUGUAUCGGAUCAAAAGAUUAGGAUGGCAAUUCCAGUGCAGAUACGGUGCUAAGAUGAAACUAAUGUUCUAUGAAAUUGGUACCACUUGCACAGUAAGUAGAAAUGUAUUACCAUGAUGCUGUUGUAGUAGUUUUUAUGGUGUUGUAUAUAUAAAGAUGGAACUAUCGUGGAAUACUUCUAGCAAUUGCAAUAACAAUGAGUUAUUUGACAAUA
Molecule: long non-coding RNA, 632 nt
Organism: Lycium ferocissimum
Lineage: Eukaryota; Viridiplantae; Streptophyta; Magnoliopsida; Solanales; Solanaceae
Exons: 2
Source: RefSeq, a predicted model, not a curated record